CAGCCGCCGCGGUAAAACAGAGGGUGCGAGCGUUAAUCGGAUUUACUGGGCGUAAAGCGUGCGUAGGCGGCUUUUUAAGUCGGAUGUGAAAUCCCUGAGCUUAACUUAGGAAUUGCAUUCGAUACUGGGAAGCUAGAGUAUGGGAGAGGAUGGUAGAAUUCCAGGUGUAGCGGUGAAAUGCGUAGAGAUCUGGAGGAAUACCGAUGGCGAAGGCAGCCAUCUGGCCUAAUACUGACGCUGAGGUACGAAAGCAUGGGGAGCAAACAGGAUUAGAUACCCCAGUAGUCCCUGUCUCUUAUAC
RNAcentral lists this ribosomal RNA (301 nucleotides) under uncultured bacterium. RNAcentral's name for it is "partial 16S ribosomal RNA". It matches the Rfam family "Bacterial small subunit ribosomal RNA", at positions 509 to 807 of the family's 1533-position model. The record is from RNAcentral.